RNAcentral lists this ribosomal RNA (200 nucleotides) under uncultured bacterium. RNAcentral describes it as "partial 16S ribosomal RNA". It matches the Rfam family "Bacterial small subunit ribosomal RNA", at positions 8 to 208 of the family's 1533-position model. The record is from RNAcentral.
AGAGUUUGAUCCUGGCUCAGGACGAACGCUGGCGGCGUGCUUAACACAUGCAAGUCGAGCGGAAAGGCCCUUUUGGGGGUGCUCGAGCGGCGAACGGGUGAGUAACACGUGAGUAACCUGCCUUGGCUCUGGGAUAAGCCUGGGAAACUGGGUCUAAUACCGGAUAUGACCACUCCUGGCAUCGGGUGGUGGUGGAAAGU